UCGUAACAAAAGCGUAAGAGACGCUCCAAGGCUGUCGCCGACUCGAAAGGGUCGUGCACGCCGGAAGGGCGUCCUCUUACGUGAAAUCCACCUCACCCCUUUUGUGCACCACCGCGUGGGCUUCCUCCUCGAGGGGGCUCGCGUUUUUCACACAAACACCCUUUGUAAACGUCUUGUAGAAUGUCCUCAUUUUGUUUGCGUUGACGCGCGAUCAAUA
Molecule: unclassified non-coding RNA, 217 nt
Filed under: uncultured fungus
Lineage: Eukaryota; Fungi
Description: sequence contains ITS1, 5.8S rRNA gene
Source: RNAcentral